GAGUUUGAUCCUGGCUCAGGACGAACGCUGGCGGCGUGCCUAACACAUGCAAGUCGAGCGAUGAAGCUCCUUCGGGAGUGGAUUAGCGGCGGACGGGUGAGUAACACGUGGGUAACCUGCCUCAUAGAGGGGAAUAGCCUCCCGAAAGGGAGAUUAAUACCGCAUAAAGUAUGAAGGUCGCAUGACUUUUAUACCAAAGGAGUAAUCCGCUAUGAGAUGGACCCGCGGCGCAUUAGCUAGUUGGUGAGGUAAGGGCUCACCAAGGCAACGAUGCGUAGCCGACCUGAGAGGGUGAUCGGCCACAUUGGAACUGAGACACGGUCCAGACUCCUACGGGAGGCAGCAGUGGGGAAUAUUGCGCAAUGGGGGAAACCCUGACGCAGCAACGCCGCGUGAAUGAAGAAGGCCUUAGGGUUGUAAAGUUCUGUCAUAUGGGAAGAUAAUGACGGUACCAUAUGAGGAAGCCACGGCUAACUACGUGCCAGCAGCCGCGGUAAUACGUAGGUGGCAAGCGUUGUCCGGAUUUACUGGGCGUAAAGGAUGCGUAGGCGGACAUUUAAGUCAGAUGUGAAAUACCCGGGCUCAACUUGGGUGCUGCAUUUGAAACUGGGUGUCUAGAGUGCAGGAGAGGAAAGCGGAAUUCCUAGUGUAGCGGUGAAAUGCGUAGAGAUUAAGAAAAACACCAGUGGCGAAGGCGGCUUUCUGGACUGUAACUGACGCUGAGGCAUGAAAGCGUGGGGAGCAAAUAGGAUUAGAUACCCUGGUAGUCCGCCUACGCAUCCUUUACGCCCAGUAAAUCCGGACAACGCUUGCCACCUACGUAUUACCGCGGCUGCUGGCACGUAGUUAGCCGUGGCUUCCUCAUAUGGUACCGUCAUUAUCUUCCCAUAUGACAGAACUUUACAACCCUAAGGCCUUCUUCAUUCACGCGGCGUUGCUGCGUCAGGGUUUCCCCCAUUGCGCAAUAUUCCCCACUGCUGCCUCCCGUAGGAGUCUGGACCGUGUCUCAGUUCCAAUGUGGCCGAUCACCCUCUCAGGUCGGCUACGCAUCGUUGCCUUGGUGAGCCCUUACCUCACCAACUAGCUAAUGCGCCGCGGGUCCAUCUCAUAGCGGAUUGCUCCUUUGGUAUAAAAGUCAUGCGACCUUCAUACUUUAUGCGGUAUUAAUCUCCCUUUCGGGAGGCUAUUCCCCUCUAUGAGGCAGGUUACCCACGUGUUACUCACCCGUCCGCCGCUAAUUCACUCCCGAAGGAGCUUCAUCGCUCGACUUGCAUGUGUUAGGCACGCCGCCAGCGUUCGUCCUGAGCCAGGAUCAAACUCUCAAUUUAAAAGUUUGUAUCUUGAUUGCUCAAGUAAAGUUUGCUGACUAUAAUAGUCAUUAUUAAGUUUCUUUCGAAACUCAAUGAAUUAACUGGUUUUACCUAUUUCUCUGUUUAAUUUUCAAAGACCAAUUUCUUACUAUUUUGCCGCCGUUUUCCGACUGCUUUUUUAUCUUAUCACUUUGUUUUCUUGUUGUCAACAUAUUUUUUAAAACUUUUUAAAGUUUUUUGUAGGAAGCUUAAAUUUUCUUAAGUCCUAUUAAAUAUGUUGAUUUAAAAACUCAGUAUGUCGCUUUAGCACUUGGCGUUGGCGACUUAUUCAUAAUAACAUGAUAUAAAGAAAAGUAAAAUUUUAUUCUUAUUAUUUUACUAAAAUUAUUUUAUAAAUUCUUAAUAAUACUCUUUUUCUCUUUAUUUUUCAUAUAAAGAUACACUAGGAUAAGUUUCUUUUUGCUUUUUUCUAGCUAGACUAGAAAGCAUGAAUAAUUGCUACUUUUUAGUAUUAUAAUUAAGGCUAUUGAAUUCAUAAUUUACGAUGUAAAAUCCAUAAUUAAUGGAUAUUUCUCAGGUUUUGAUGAGAAAUUUAAAUAAAAUUGAUUUAUUCUGAAAUAAUACAGUUAAUUUUUAUAAUGAUUUAAAGGAUUUGGUUUGUUUAAAACUAAUUUCAAGCUUAAUUUUGAAUUAUACAUUAUUUUAAGUUGUUAAUUGAAAUAUUUAAUAGCAUAGUUAUUAUUUAUAAAUUGACUUUUUUUCUAUAAAUAAAAUACUGCCUUAAGCAUUUUAUUAUACUUAAGACAGUAUUUUACUAAUUAUAAAUUAUUAAUUAUUUCUUUAAAUUUAUUUCCUCUAGCUUCAAAAUUUACAAACAUAUCAAAACUAGCACAUGCAGGAGAUAACGUUACUAUAUCAUCUUUUUCAGAAAUUUCUUUUGCCUUAUCUACCGCUUCUUCUAAAGUAUCAACUAUAUAUAUUGCAGUUUCUAUUCCUUCUUUUUCUUUUAACUCAUCAAAAACGGUCUUUAUUUUAUACUUUGUUGCGCCUAGUAAUAUUAAUGAUUUAAUAUAUUUAUAUCCUUCAAAAGCUAAAGGCUCAAAUGGUAAGUUUUUAUCAUAUCCUCCUGCUAUUAAUACAACGGGCUUUUCAAAAGCUUUAAUACUUGCUAAGGUUCUUGUAGGACUAGAUGCUAUAGAAUCAUUAUAGAACUCCACUCCAUUUAUAGAUCUUAUAAAUUCGCUUCUAUGUUCCACUCCUCCGAAAGAUAUAGCUAUAUUCUUCAUAGCUUCAAUAUUUACUUCAUCGCAAGUUGCAGAAAACGCAGCUAAUAAAUUCUCAACAUUAUGCAUACCUUUUAAUUUUAUAUCUUUCUUAUCGCAAACUUCCUUACCCCUAAUAUAUAGCUUUUCAUUUUCAUAGUAUGCACCUUUUUCUACUUUUUUCUUUCUACUAAAGGUAUAAACUCUUCCUUUAGCUUCUCCUAUCAUUGAGCUAGUUAUGUCAUUAUCUUCAUUUAAUAUUAAUAGAGAGUUUUCAUCUUGAUAUUUGUAUAUAUUCUUCUUACUUUCAACAUAUUCAUUCAUAUCCUUAUGCAUAUCUAAAUGAUUAGGAGAUAAAUUUGUUAUUACUGCUAUAUCUGUAGAAUCCUUCAUUGUCAUAAGCUGAAAACUUGAUAACUCUAAUACCACUCUAUCAUCCUUUUUU
Molecule: ribosomal RNA, 3017 nt
Filed under: Clostridium argentinense CDC 2741
Lineage: Bacteria; Bacillati; Bacillota; Clostridia; Eubacteriales; Clostridiaceae
Description: bacterial SSU rRNA
Rfam family: Bacterial small subunit ribosomal RNA (bases 1-790)
Source: RNAcentral